This 1277-nucleotide long non-coding RNA is filed under the name Zostera marina. RNAcentral's name for it is "long non-coding RNA (ZMAR_LNC004433)". Lineage: Eukaryota; Viridiplantae; Streptophyta; Magnoliopsida; Alismatales; Zosteraceae. The record is from RNAcentral.
UUGAUAAUUCUGAGAGAGAGAGAGACACUUGUACUAGGUUGGACGGUGAGCUAGCUCCGGCGAACUCUCACACCAACAGUGGUGAACCUGACGUGAACCGAACACACGACAGCCGGAGAGAGAAGGAUGACGAGGAGCGAAUACCAAGUAGGGGAGUGCUCAAAGCGACCCGAGCGGGCAGCGGAGGAGUACCAGCCGGCGCGACACCACUCCCGCGACCGGUAUUCGGAGGAGGUAAGGGCCAACGAGGAAUGGGACGGCGAGGAGGAUAGGCUGCGCAUGGAGCUCGAGGAGAUCAGGUACGGGUGGGAGUCACCCAGAAGGCGCCGGCGCAAAGAACCGGCAUCCCCACCCAAGGUCAGGAGAACGCGGUCCCGGUCGCGGUCCCGGGAGAGAAGGGAAAAGGAGCACGAGAGGCUCCGGCGAAGGGAGCGCGCGGAGGAGAAAGAGCGCGCGGAAAAAGAGAGCAAGCGGGAGAGGAUGCAGCUCGUGGAACUGAUAUCCACCCUACAGGAGAGCCAGCGUCAGCUACAAGAGCAGGUGCACCAGCUUACGGUGACCCCACACACCCUGGAGUCGGACGGGGGCGGAGGAGGGGAUCCCAUGUACGGGCCGCCCGCCCCCCCGGACGGGAGACCCGGGAGUGACGCCCCACCCGUGGAGGCCCCGCGAACAAUUGUGGCAACGACGCCGGGAGGGGGCAGCGGAGAGGCCCUAGCGCAGCACCUGCUGGACGAGGAGUACCCGCCAGGCUGGAGAGCCCCGAAGAUCCCUUAUUACAAGGGCGACACAGACCCAGAGGACCACCUGCACUCUUUCAAGACCAACAUGGAGGACAGGACGAACAGGAAGGACAUCUGGUGUCGAAUGUUCCGAAGGGCCCUGACGGGCGACGCAAUAGCCUGGUACAGGACGCUGCCGACAGGGUCCGUGCACACCUACGAAGGCUUAGUGGUGGUAUUCCGGGCGGCUUUCGCACACCGUCGAAGAAGGCCGAAAAUCAAGGCCGCCCUCAGUACCGUCAUACAGGGAGAAUCAGAGAGCACGCGCACUUACAUGGACUGGUUCACGAGCGAGGUGCAGAAGAUUGAGGGGAUCUCAGAGGAGGUGGUGCUGUACGCCCUAACGAACAGCCUCCGGCCCACUUUCUUCGCGGGAGACUUAGUGAGGAAGCCGCCGAAAACCUUCGCCGAGGCCAUGGAGAGAUCCCACGGAGAGAGCAACGUGGAGGAUUACCUAGGCGCGAAGAUCCAGGAGUACAGGCGGCAGCAGAGGGG